CAGCCGCCGCGGGAAUACAGAGGAUGCAAGCGUUAUCCGGAAUGAUUGGGCGUAAAGCGUCUGUAGGUGGCUUUUCAAGUCCGCCGUCAAAUCCCCGGGCUCAACCCUGGACAGGCAGUGGAAACUACCAAGCUGGAGUACGGUAGGGGCAGAGGGAAUUUCCGGUGUAGCGGUGAAAUGCGUAGAGAUGUGGAGGAACACCAGUGGCGAAGGCGACUCUCUGGUCUGUAACUGACGCUGAGGAGCGAAAGCGUGGGGAGCGAACAGGAUUAGAUACCCCAGUAGUCCCUGUCUCUUAUAC
RNAcentral lists this ribosomal RNA (301 nucleotides) under uncultured bacterium. Its description in RNAcentral is "partial 16S ribosomal RNA". It matches the Rfam family "Bacterial small subunit ribosomal RNA", at positions 509 to 807 of the family's 1533-position model. The record is from RNAcentral.